RNAcentral lists this RNase P RNA (364 nucleotides) under Wenzhouxiangella sp. RNAcentral's name for it is "RNase P RNA component class A". It matches the Rfam family "Bacterial RNase P class A". Rfam says of the family: Ribonuclease P (RNase P) is a ubiquitous endoribonuclease, found in archaea, bacteria and eukarya as well as chloroplasts and mitochondria. Its best characterised activity is the generation of mature 5'-ends of tRNAs by cleaving the 5'-leader elements of precursor-tRNAs. The record is from RNAcentral. Lineage: Bacteria; Pseudomonadati; Pseudomonadota; Gammaproteobacteria; Chromatiales; Wenzhouxiangellaceae.
AGAGCCGGCCAGACAGUCGCUGUGUCCGUAAAGGGCAUGGAGGAAAGUCCGGGCUUCACAGGGCAGGGUGCCAGGUAACGCCUGGGGGAUCGCGGCGCGAGCCGGGAUUUACGGAAAGUGCCACAGAAAACAUACCGCCGAUGGCCCGCAAGGGCACAGGCAAGGGUGAAAAGGUGCGGUAAGAGCGCACCGCGUGUCUGGCAACAGAGACGGCAGGGCAAACCCCACCUGAAGCAAGGCCAAAUAGGGAUGCCAUGGCGUUGCCCGCGCCGCAUCCGGGUAGGCUGCUAGAGGCGGCUGGCGACAGACGCCCCAGACGAAUGACUGUCCACGACAGAACCCGGCUUAUCGGCCGGCUCUCACU